This 460-nucleotide ribosomal RNA is filed under the name uncultured bacterium. RNAcentral's name for it is "partial 16S ribosomal RNA". It matches the Rfam family "Bacterial small subunit ribosomal RNA", at positions 338 to 795 of the family's 1533-position model. The record is from RNAcentral.
CCUACGGGAGGCAGCAGUGAGGAAUAUUGGUCAAUGGACGCGAGUCUGAACCAGCCAAGUAGCGUGAAGGAUGACUGCCCUAGGGGUUGUAAACUUCUUUUAUAUGGGAAUAAAACGUUCCACGUGUGGGGUUUUGUAUGUACCUUAUGAAUAAGGAGCGGCUAACUCCGUGCCAGCAGCCGCGGUAAUACGGAGGAUUCGAGCGUUUUCCGGAUUUAUUGGGUUUAAAGGGAGCGUAGGUGGAUUGUUAAGUCAGUUGUGAAAGUCUGCGGCUCAACCGUAAAAUUGCAGUUGAAACUGGCAGUCUUGAGUACAGUAGAGGUGAGCGGAAUUCGUGGUGUAGCGGUGAAAUGCUUAGAUAUAACGAAGAACUCCGAUUGCGAAGGCAGCUCACUGGACUGCAACUGACACUGAGGCUCGAAAGUGUGGGGAUCAAACAGGAUUAGAUACCCGGGUAGUC